UGAACGCUGGCGGCGUGCUUAACACAUGCAAGUCGAACGAGAACGGGUUAUAGCUUGCUAUAACUGUCAGCUAAGUGGCGCACGGGUGAGUAAUAUAUAGUUAACCUGCCCUAGAGAAGGGGAUAACGUUUGGAAACGGACGCUAACACCCUAUAUGCCUUUAAUACAUAAGUAUGCAAGGGAAACAUUUAUGGCUCUAGGAUGGGACUGUACGGUAUCAGUUAGUUGGUGAGGUAAUGGCUCACCAAGACAAUGACACCUAACUGGUUUGAGAGGAUGAUCAGUCACACUGGAACUGAACACGGUCCAGACUCCUACGGGAGGCAGCAGUGGGGAAUAUUGCACAAUGGACGAAAGUCUGAUGCAGCAACGCCGCGUGGAGGAUGACACAUUUCGGUGCGUAAACUCCUUUUAUAUAGGAAGAUAAUGACGGUACUAUAUGAAUAAGCACCGGCUAACUCC
Molecule: ribosomal RNA, 462 nt
Filed under: uncultured bacterium
Lineage: Bacteria
Description: bacterial SSU rRNA
Rfam family: Bacterial small subunit ribosomal RNA
Source: RNAcentral